GGGGUUGUGGCUCAGUGGUAGAGCACUUGCUUAGAAUGUGUGAGGCACUGGGUUCAAGUCUCAGCACCG
This 69-nucleotide transfer RNA is filed under the name Urocitellus parryii (Arctic ground squirrel). Its description in RNAcentral is "Spermophilus parryii (Arctic ground squirrel) tRNA". It matches the Rfam family "tRNA". Rfam says of the family: Transfer RNA (tRNA) molecules are approximately 80 nucleotides in length. Their secondary structure includes four short double-helical elements and three loops (D, anti-codon, and T loops). The record is from Rfam by way of RNAcentral. RNAcentral also lists the same sequence under 1 other name. Lineage: Eukaryota; Metazoa; Chordata; Mammalia; Rodentia; Sciuridae.